GACGAACGCUGGCGGCGUGCUUAACACAUGCAAGUCGAACGGAAAGGCCCUGCUUUUGUGGGGUGCUCGUGUGGCGAACGGGUGAGUAACACGUGAGUAACAUGCCCUUGACUUUGGGGUAACUUCAGGAAACUGGGGCUAAUACCGGAUAUGAUAUCCUGCUGCAUGGUGGGGGUUGGAAAGUUUCGGCGGUUUGGGCUGGACUCGCGGCUUAUCAGCUUGUUGGUGGGGUAGUGGCUUACCAAGGCUUUGACGGGUAGCCGGCCUGAGAGGGUGACCGGGCACAUUGGGACUGAGGUACGGCCCAGACUCCUACCGGAGGCAGCAGGGGGGAAUAUUGCACAAUGGGCGGAAGCCUGAUGCAGCAACGCCGCGUGCGGGAUGACGGCCUUCGGGGUGUAAACCGCUUUCGCCUGUGACGAAGCGUGAGUGACGGUAAUGAGUAAAGAAGCACCGGCUAACUACGUG
RNAcentral lists this ribosomal RNA (468 nucleotides) under uncultured bacterium. Its description in RNAcentral is "partial 16S ribosomal RNA". It matches the Rfam family "Bacterial small subunit ribosomal RNA", at positions 28 to 507 of the family's 1533-position model. The record is from RNAcentral.